GGUACCUAAAAUAGCACAGACCAGAGAAAACAAGGGAAGGUUAGGAGAGGCCUGGUGUCAAAAUGAGUUCAGUCAUUUUUCCACGGGCCUUGUGUCUGACACGUGUGCUUUAGAGUCAGAAUUUACCUCUGGAGAACAUAGGGAUGUACGUAGUUAACCGGUUAAUUGCCGUUAAUGUUUUAACCGGGUAAACUAGUUUUUUCCCAGUUAACUGCUUCAAGUCCUUCUGCUGCGCUGGGAGCAAUAUAUUUUGUGCCACCAGUGGGCGCAAGAGCGCCACUAUCAAAUACGUUUACUGGGCGACCGCAGAAGAGGAAAUGAGCUCGUCACAUGACCAAACAAACGUGCUCAAACACAAAGCGGUUAACAACAAGGCAGCAUUGGAUCAGUUUGUUCUUAAUUAUUUCAUUCUUGGAACACAAUAAGCCUCACAUCAAAACGCAGAGCCUGGCAGAACACAACGCAGCAAACUGAACCGAGACCAGCAACAGACAGAUGGACUCAAAUCAGACUCUGGAAGACUUUGGCCUACACAGGAGUUCAUGGUGGACUCAGUGACUGUGGGAGCCCAAACCAUCACCCCUCCUCCACUGUGCAGACAGCUGGGAUCAACUGUUCUCUCCAAACACGGAGCAGUGCAUUAUGGGUAAACUUUGGUCAUAUCUGUCCAAAGAACAUUUUGCCAGGUUGGUUAAUAGGAAACUUUACAAACCCAAGUUGUGCUGCCAUGUUCUUUUCAGAGGGAAACAUGUCACCCUAUUUCAGUUUUUCUGAUUAUCCAGCCUUAGACCUCCACGAUUUAUAGCUUUAAAGUCAUAUUCAAACCAGCAGAAACAACAGAAAUAUUUACAUUUUUACAGAUUCCUUUAAACUGAUUUGUUUGUAAUUAAUUGGACUGUUGAUUCCAUAAUUUGACCCAGAAACUCUUUAAGAUGUUCUGACUGACAGGAUUUUGAAAUGUAGUUCCCUUUUGGAAUGAUAUCUCCCUUCUGUCUGAAAACACUUAUUUUAUUUGUAGGUAAGCUGUUUUUAAUUUGUGUUUCUUUAUUGUUAAACCGAUCCUGAAAAUGUAAGAGAUUUAUGUUUAAAAGUCUUUUUGUGUGUA
This is a non-coding RNA of Nothobranchius furzeri (turquoise killifish), 1105 nucleotides long. Lineage: Eukaryota; Metazoa; Chordata; Actinopteri; Cyprinodontiformes; Nothobranchiidae. The record is from RefSeq and is a predicted model, not a curated record.